Molecule: ribosomal RNA, 119 nt
Filed under: Salmo trutta (river trout)
Lineage: Eukaryota; Metazoa; Chordata; Actinopteri; Salmoniformes; Salmonidae
Source: RNAcentral
GUUUACGGCCAUACCAGCCUGGGUACGCCCGAUCUCGUCUGAUCUUGGAAGCUAAGCAGGGUCGGGCCUGGUUAGUACUUGGAUGGGAGACCGCCUGGGAAUACCAGGUGCUGUAAGCU